UCUUCAUUUUAAAGUCUAUUUUGUCUGUUAUGAGGAGUCCUACUCCAGAUUUCUUUUGAUUCCCGUUUGCGUGGAAUAUUUUCUUCCAUCUUCUCACUUUCGAUUUGUAUGUGUCCCUAGAUGUGAAAUGGGUCUCUUGAAGACAGCAUAUAUAUGGGUCUUGUUUUUGUAUCCAUUCAGCCAGUCUAUGUCUUUUGGUUGGGGCAUUUAUUCCAUUAACAUUAAGGUAAUUAUUGACAUGUAUGUUCUUAUUUCCAUUUUAUUAAUUGCUUUGGAUUUGUUUGUGUUGCUCUUUUUUCUUCCCUUCUUCUCUUGUUCUCUCCUCUUCUGGUUUGAUGACUAUCUUUAGUGCUGUAUUUGAGUUGAUUUUUCUUGUUUGUGUUUUAAUUGUAGAUUUUUGGUUUGCCAUUAUUCUGAAGUUUUGAUAUAAGCAUUUAUAUAUAUAUGAGAUUGUUUUAAGUUGUUGGUCUCUUAAUUGCAAGUGCAUCUCCAGUGUCCUGCAUGUGUACCGUCCUCUUCUCAAAAUUUCUGAUUUUGGUGGCAUAAUUGUGCAUGAAUGAUAUUGUAUCUUUACUGUAUAUAUACCUUUACUGGUGAGCCUUGUCAUUUGUGGUAUUUUUGUUUCUGGUUGCAGCCUUUUCUUUUCUGCCUAGAGAAGUUCCUUUAGUAUUUGUUGUAAGGCUGGUUUAGUGUUGCUGAAUUCUCUUAGCUUUUGCUUAUCUGUGAAGCUUUUGAUUUCUCCUUCACAUCUGAAUGAGAGCCUUGCUGAGUCCAGUAAUCUUGGUUGGAGGUUUUUUCCUUUCAUCACGUAAUGUAUAUCAUGCCACUCCCUUCUGGCCUGCAGAGUUUCUGCUGAAACAUCUGCCGAGAACCUUAUCGGGGUUCCCUUGUAUGUUAUUUGUUUCUUUUCCCUAGCUGCUUUCAGUAUUUUGUCUUUGUCUUUAAUUUUGGUCAGUUUGAUUAAUGUAUGUCUCAGGGUGUUCCUCCUUGGGUUUAUUUUUUAUGGUACUUGUUGCACUUCCUGGAUUGGAGCGAGUGGCCCCUUUCCCAUGUUAGGGACGUUUUCAACUACUGUCUCUUUGAGUGUUUUUUCUGUUCCCUUCUCUCUCUCUCUUCUCCUUCUAGCACCCCUAUAAUAUAGAUGUUGGUGUGUUUAACGUUGUCCCAGAGUUCUCUGAGACUCUCUUCAUUUGUUUUCAAUCUUUUUUCUCUUUUCUGUUCCACAUCUGUGAUUUCCACUAAUCUGUCCUCCACCUCUCUUAUUCGUUCUUCCGCCUCCUAUAUUCUGUGGUUGGCUGCUUCUAAUGAAUUUUUUAUUUCAGUUAUUGUAUUUUGCAUCUCUUCUUGUUUAAGUUUUAUAAAGAUAUAUGUAUGUCUUUGCUGGGUGUUUACUGUAAGUUAUCCAUCUUUGCCUCCAGUUUAUUUCCAAUGUCUUGCAUCAUCUUCAGCAUCAGCAGUCUAAAGUCUUUUUCCUGGAGGCUGGGAAUCUCCUUAUCACUUAGCUGAUUUUCUGGGGUUUUUUCCUUUCUCCCUCAUCUGAGUUAUAGUUCUCUGUCUUUUCAUUUUUUUCUAGGUUUUUGGUGUGGUGUCCUUUUUUCAGAUAAUAGAGUUGUAGCCUCUCUUACUUCUGGUGUCUGCCCCCCUUGUCACUGAAGUUGGUAGGGGGCCUGCUGUAGUCUUCCUGAUGGGAGGGACUGAUGCCUGCCUACUGGUAGGUGGAGCUGAUUCCUAUCCCUCUGGUGGGUGGGGCUCUGUCUCAGUUUGGGAUUUGAGGUGGUGUGUGCCUGGGGGGUCUUUAGACAUCCUGUUUACUGAUGGGCAGGGCUGUGAUCCCACCUGGAUUGUUGUUUGGCCUGGGACUUUUCAGAGCUGAUGGGUGGGGCCAGAUUUUCCCAAAAUGGCCACCUCCAGAAAAAGGCAGGCUGCUGAAUAUUCCUGAGGGCUUUGCUUCCAAUGUCCUUCCCCCACACAAGCCACACUCACCCUUGUUUUCCCAGGAUGUCCUCCAAGAACUGCAGUCAGGUCUGAACCAGACUCCUAUGGAGACUGCUUUGCCCUGGGACCCAGUGCACAUGAAAGUCUGUGUGCGCCUUUUGAGAAUGGGGUCUCCAUUUCCCCUACUCCCGUGGAGCUCCUGCGCACAAGCCCCACUGGCCUGCAGUGUCAGAUGUUCUGGGGGCUCUUUCUCCCAGUGCCAGAUUGCCACACAUGGGAGUUUGAUGUGUGGCUCAGAACUUUCACUCCUGUAGUUGAGUCUCUGUGAACCAGUUAGUUUCCAGUCUGUGGGGUUUCCCACCCAGGAGGUUUGGGGUUGCUUAUAUCAUGUAAUCACCCCUCCUACAUCUUGAUGUGGCCUCCUCUUUGUCUUCUGGAGUAGGAUAUCUUUUUUAAGGUUUCCCUUCCCUUUGGUUGAAGAUUGCUCAGCAUUUAGUUUUAAAUUUUGUUGUUUUUAGGAGAGACGUUGAGCUCCAGUCCUUCUAUUCCUCCAUCUUAAUCCCUGAAUCGAUUUUCAGACUUCUUAAGAGAAAAAAUUUUAUUUUUCCCAAACAAAAUUUUAUGUUUGUUUUGUUUUGUUUUGUUGUCUUCCUUUGUUUUAGGGCCACACUCACAGCAUAUGGAGGUUCCCAGGCUAGGGGUCCAAUCAGAGUUAUAGCCACUGGCCUACGCCACAGCCACAGCAAUGCAGGUUCUGAGCCUUAUCUGCAACCUACACCACAGCUUAUGGCAAUGCCUGAUCCUUAACCCACUGAACGAGGCCAGGGGUCAAACCCACAUCCUCAUGGAUACUAGUCAGGUUCUGUAACCACAGAGCCAUGAAGGGAACUCCCCAAACUAAAUUUUAUGAAGGAUCUUCAAUUUAUAAAACAGUUCAGGAGCUCCCACUGUGGCACGGUGGGAUCAAUGACAUCUUGGGAGCACAGGGAUGCAGGUUCUAUCUCCAGCCCCACACAGUGGGUUAAGGAUCCAGCAUUGUCACAGCUGUGGCUUAGGUUGUAACUAUGGCUCAGAACUGAUCCCUGGCCCGAGAGCUCCAUGUGCCACAGGGUGGCCAAUAAUUGAAAGAAAAAAAAGCAGUACUGAAAGCAUAGAUGGGCCAAUAGGAAUUAGGAGUUGGAGACCUGAGAGCCCAGCCCACUUGGCCUUUCCUCACAGUAUAGGAGCCCUUGAGUUACCACUGGAAAAUAAACAGGUUGAUAGUCACUUCUCUGUAAGCAUAGAUAGAACUUAGAGUUGCUUAGAUAGAUUCACAGUCAUUUCUAGGGUUGAGCACUAGGCUCUUAGCAUUAUUACUCCCAUUAUGUCAAUCCUGUGAGAAAAUCAGGUUUAAUGUAUUUCAGCUUACAGCCCCUUUCCUAAGAUUCGUAACUUGAUAUACAAGAGAACUGUGCCUACAAUCAGUUGUUAAAAUCAUAGUGGUUUAGCUCAGCUACAGAAUGGGUAAAAACCCUUAGAUUUUCCUGAAAGUACAAUAUUUGAAAUAUUUUUUCUCAGUGAUUUAAAGGCUUUUCUACUUUAUUUUGUGAAUUUCAGGUUCUAGAAUGUAUUUGCCUCUUUAAAAACUAUUGCUCCAUAUCUAACAUUGGCUUUUAAAUUGAUUGUCUUUAAAUGAAGGCUUUAUUGAAAAGGCUUGAAGCUGUGAAACCAACAGUUGGUAUGAAACGCUCAGAACAGCUGAUGGACUAUCACCGCAACAUGGGCUACCUCAGCUCUUCCCCCACCUCUAGACGUGUGAGGUCCACUCUUGGCCAAUACAGCCCAUUAAGAGAUGCUUCCAGGACAUCCAGUGCUACCAGCGGUCUCAGUUGUAAGAGUGAGCGAUCAGCUUUUGACACAUCCAGCGGCCAUUUGCUAAGACCUAAGCCCCCUAAUGUCCGUACAGCUUGGUUAUAAAACUCUUUUUACUUUAAACAUUGUUCAUCCAAUUCUUACUGAAGUGCUCUUGCAUAUUACCAUAAUUCUCUGUGUAAAAAUCUAUAAUACUGUUUUCAGCAAUUUAAAGUGUAUAACAAUGACUCGUAAUUUAUUGUAAUUCAAUGCAACAUUGCUUUCAGAAAGACAAUUUAAUAUAAAAUCAGUGUUUCCUGUGAGAAGGUGUUUAUAUAUGGAGACAUGUAUUUCAUAGAGAAAUGGUAGCAUGCAUGUGUAUUUUCUCAACAUAGAAACAGGUUCAGCUGUCAGACAGGCAAAAGAGUUGUGACAGUAUCAUUCCACGUUGGACCUGAGGUGUUAGCUAUAUAGGUCUUGUUUAAUGUGUUUUUUUGUUUUUUUGUUUUCAUUUCUUGUAAGCUUUAUACCAUGGGCAUAGCUCCUGACUUUGUUUCCUGUUUGCUUCAGAACUUGGGUGGUGUGACUUAUAACUUCAUUGUAAGAUAGUUACACUUGCAUAUAAUGAAACAAAUCUUGAAAUUUGUUUUCAUUGGUGGAGCUCAUUUAGAUUUGAUGAGCAAAUUGAGAGAAGCUUGGCGUUGAGCAUCCUUGUGAUUCACCAGAGGUCUCUACUACUCCUCUAGUGCACCGAGUUAGAUCUUAAACCCUUUAUCACCCAUUCCAAACCAUUUCUAACUGUAUUAGAAAGUUCACCUUAGAAGCUCCUCUUUCAUGUUUUUUAUACAUUCGGGGGAAGUACUGUUAAUAAUUCUGAGGAAUUAGGUUUCUUUAGAGCUACAGUCUACUGCAUUGUGAAUAGCUUGUUCAAAGACCAACUCAUCAUAAGCGGAAGCAAGUAUUUGUUGAAUUAGCAAAAUAGCACCACCAGUUUGAAGAGCCAAGAAGCAAAUCUUGAGUUGUUAGAACAGUGUUUGAGUGAUGCUGUAAACAGAUUGUGUUAAAUUUGGUGUUUCUUGUUUUAAGUGAGAAGAAAAAUGAGGAAAGACAUGCAUUGUCUCAUAGCUUUAAAAAAUCCAGCUAGUGUUUUUAAGGGCUGAAAAAGAAAACUAAAAUAUGAACAAUAAAGGGGAAAAAAAUCACCAAUUUGUUGAGGCUGCUUUAAAUGUCAGCUAAUUUUCUUCCUUUGUUUUGGUUUGGUCUUUUGGGUUGAAUCCUGGAAGUAUCAUUUUUGCCAGUCCUACUUUUGAAGUCCUGGUGAUCUUAAUGUAAUUAGUAAUAGCAAAUAGGGUAUAAUAUAGUUGACUUUUAAAAUUAGAAUAUUUUUCUGUCAAUCUCUAGGCUAUUACAUUGUGUAAGGAAGUAUAUCUUGGUCAUGUAGCUUCUGCUGUCCAAGUUAUCACUGUUUUCACUAUUGGCCUUUUCUGUAUACCUUAGAAUGUGUUAGAAAGUUUCUAUAUUAAAUGCCAACUCUUUCCCUUUUUUAGUGUGAAUUUUGGAUCUGUAGCCCAGUAAGAUUUGUUGGUUUUCCAAGUUAACUCAAGCUCUGUUGCCUGUACACUGAACUUAUGUUUCCUAACACCUUUGUUAGUAAGCCAAACUGCAUUUUACUAAAAACUGAUUCAGAAUUUCUUGUUCGUAGUUUGUAUUGACAAACUUUGCUUAGGACAGGGCAUGUGAAGCCUGAAAAGGAUGAGGUUAAAAAAUCCAUGUGAACAUGGCCUGACUGAAAUUUUUCUGCUGCUUUCUUUGAGCUAUAAUGUUUGUUCAUUGUUAUUUGAUAUUCUGUGCUGGUGAACAGAUUUUUACAUUACUUACUGUUCUGCUUUAUAUUAUAAACUUAAUACUAAACCAAGGUUUUGUUUUGUUAUUGCAACUUUUAAUGUUUGCAUAACAACCUAUAACAACCUAUCUUUAAGGAGUGAUAAGAGUAGGUUCAGCAUUUGAAUAUUUGCCUAAUAGUGAACCGGUUUUUAAGAAUUGAUUUUUAAGUUGUUAGGGAAAAAAAAAUUUAUGAAACCUUUUAUGUAAUAGUGUUAGGCUCUGAGUACAUCUUAUAUGGUCUUUGCUGCCAUAUGUCAUGAUACAGUUAUAAUUUUAUUGAUAAAACUGUCAUUUUAUUUUAUUUUUGAUCUUUAAAAAUCUUUUCUUAGUAUUUUGAUUUUAGAUAUUAAUUUAAUACCUUUUAUUUUUACUACUUUGACAGGGGAGGUUCGUCUAAGUAUUACUGAUAACAGGGAUUCAACUUGAAGUAAAAGUCAGGAAGAGCAAUAAUCACAUCUUUUCAAAGUGGAAUAUACAAUUCUGUUGUCAUGAUUAGUUUAUACGAUAACUAUAAAUAGAGGGAUAAGAGUUGAAAAUGUGAUAUUCCCUGAUAUAAGUCAUGGUACUUUGAAGUUGUAUGGUUUAAGGGGUAUUUUUAUGAAGGAGUCAUAAGUAUACUAUUUUUCAUUUUCAAGAACAUAAAAAAGUGAAGGAUCAUCUAGCACUACUUUAUAUUUGGUUCACUUAUACCUAAAAAUAUAUUUUGAAGAUUUACACAUGCAGUUAGAAAUUAUAUUAAUCCAGGGCCUGAAAUUAUUAGGCAAGGUUCUUCUUGAGAGUUAUUUUCAUAUCUGUCAAGUGUUAAACUAAUGUUGCAUCCUUUUUAAUAAGAUUCUAUGAAAGAUUUUGAGCUAUUAAAGUUAUUUCCUAAAGGAUAGCAACUAUGUAGUACUUACCCUCUUUUUUCAAUCUCCAUAAAAAGCUGCGUUCUUAGCUAUUACUCCAAAUAAAAUUUUUCUUGUUUGCUAAUCAGUAUAGUAUAACACAGUUGUUUUCAGCCUGUUAACCCAAAUGUCCAAAAUGGAGAUCUCAGUAGUUUUAAAAAGAGGCCAUUGGGAUGGAUAUGUUUCACCUUCAAAAUCAAAUACUGAACACUAUGAAAAGUGUUAUGACCAGUAUACAGUUGGAGACACAAGUUUGAGUUACACAAUUUUAAUAAUUAAAUUCAUAAAAUGUUUAAUAUCUUAAAUGCCAAAGUCUUAACCUAUAAAUGAUUGUAAACUAUCCUAGAA
Molecule: long non-coding RNA, 6881 nt
Filed under: Sus scrofa (pig)
Lineage: Eukaryota; Metazoa; Chordata; Mammalia; Artiodactyla; Suidae
Description: lncRNA (ENSSSCG00050023900.1)
Source: RNAcentral